GAAAUGCGAUAAGUAAUGUGAAUUGCAGAAUUCAGUGAAUCAUCGAAUCUUUGAACGCACCUUGCGCUCCUUGGUAUUCCGAGGAGCAUGCCUGUUUGAGUGUCGUGAAAUUCUCAACCUUUCAAGCUUUUGUUUUAAGAAGCUUUUGAAGGGCUUGGAUUUGGGAGUUUGCUGGGUCUAGCGAAUCAGCUCUCCUUAAAUACAUUAGCAAGAUAAUCACUGAAUCAUCUUUGAUAUGAUAAUUAUCUAUAUCGUGGACGAAACAGUGCUUUCCCUUCAGGGGGAAUGAUCUGGCUUCUAACUGUCUCUCGGGACAAUCUUUGACACAUUUGACCUCAAAUCAGGUAGGACUACCCGCUGAACUUAA
RNAcentral lists this ribosomal RNA (367 nucleotides) under Mycena galericulata. RNAcentral's name for it is "eukaryotic LSU rRNA". The stretch from base 1 to 105 matches the Rfam family "5.8S ribosomal RNA", at positions 50 to 154 of the family's 154-position model. The record is from RNAcentral. Lineage: Eukaryota; Fungi; Basidiomycota; Agaricomycetes; Agaricales; Mycenaceae.